ACCACUUGAAAAACUCCCAACAUGAAAGUUGUUCACUUUUUGAGCUCUACAACUUUCAUGUUGGUCACUUUUCAAAAUUCCAAAUAGAUUUUGAAUUAGAGAUUCAAAUUGGAAAAGGGGACACUUUCUGGAAAUCUGUAUUUUCAAAAUUACUUUGAAUUUUGUAUUGAAACUUCAAAAACUCAAAACACCAAAGUUGCACAUCUUGACAAGAUCUACAACUUUACUUUUGAACUCAACCUCAAAUUUUGCUUGGUUUUUAAAUUGUGCAAAAGGGGGCAAAUCUAGGGUUCAAAAAUCAGGGUUUCCCCCCUAACCUUUCGGAAAUCUUCCACCCUAGGGUUUUAGCAACCAACACAAGCAUCGCUAUACAAGAUAAACACACUUUAAUUCCCUAAGCACAUUCAACCAAACUAACCUCAUUUUAAGUUGAUGCAUCAAAGUGUGCUUAACAACUAUGCUGUGCAAUGCUGAUGAUGCCAUGAUCCAAAUUUUAGUAACCGUAACAUCAGGGAUGUUACACGGAACCACUUACUACGCCACCCAGCGAAACCCAGGACGACUGAGAAAACGGAGAGUCCCGUUCGGAGGACUUAAAAACACCGAACGCUUUGCCAAGAGGUAAACUUGGUAGUUAUCUUUUCCCUUUCAAUUAUUUAAAACAGUUUGCUUAGUUAAUCAGGUUCAUAUCAUCUUAAAAAGAAAAUAAAAAUGUUAAAAAUAGUAAGCCCCAUGUGAUUAUGCUCAUGGCAUAAAACCCAUAAGUACAUUCACUGUGGUGGCGAAAAAAAUGAAAUAAAUAUAUUCCUAUCCUAUAAAAAUAAAAUUAUAAAAAUAAAUUUAUGAUCCUACUAAAGAGAGUAACAUUCAUUGAGGAGGCUCAACAUGAUAAAGGCUACAUAUUUAUGCUAACACUUAAACAGUUCCACAAAGCUUUGUUGUCUAUUUGAGCUUCACAGAAUUCUAGGAUCAAAGAAGACUAGCAGACGGAGGACAUCCUAAUCGCUGUCAGGGUGCUGCCGACAUUCAAAUACAACUCCGCCACUUGCUAGCUACAUCAGAAGAAAUUACGUCAAAAAUCCAGCUUGGGGGAGAGCACCCCCAUUUAUCCAGCUAAGUGUUCUACUCACGUUUAUAUUUUACUCAAAUAAUAAAAAGAUGCAUAAUCAUAAAAACCCAAAUAAAGAUUUUGUGCUUAUAUAUAUCUUUGCUUAGUUUGCUAAAUAAAUAAAAAAAUAAAGUUUGCUACGAACCCUCAUGAUAAGCUCUCACAUGGAAAUGAUGAAUAGUUGCUCUACCAUGAUUAGUUCUCAAAAUUGAAAUCUCUCUCAAGUUUAGGCAUGACUGUUAUUAAUUAAGAUUUGCUCUAAACCUGAACUUGUGGGGAGAGUACUUGAUCUAAAGUCUAAGUCGUUAACGGAUACGAUAUGGGAAGAUUGCGCUGCUGUUUAUCUGUUCCUAGAGAUGCUAGAAUUCUGGAGAAUUUUAUCUUUGAAAAUCUUUAAAUUGUUGCAUGAUGAGUUCCUGUAUGAUGAGAGUUUAAAUUCCUACCACAGCCAUAUAUACAUGCUUAUUAGACUAUGAACCACACAUUUACUUUACUACUUAUGAGCAUUGAGUGUGGUCAAGCUGUGUAGACCCUUAGGAGCUUGUCAUCUGGUUAAAUCAAUAUUCACUUGCACGUUCACUCACACAUGCUGCUUCUACUCCGGAAGUAUGCAUCCACAUAUAUCCAUCCAUUUCCAUCUCCAGAACCACCCAAAAAUAUUCUACUCCUAAUCCGGGAGAGAAUAGCCAAAAAUAUUUCUGUUUUUCCCCUGUGAAAUAAAUGCUCAAGUUAUCUUGUUACUACCACUUGCUAUAUUAUUUUAGGAGAUGAGUGCUCUAAAAAAAAAGAGAAUACGAGGAAAUAAAAAGGGGCAAGUGCCCGGAACCUCGAAAGAAAAGAAAAAAAAGUGAGACGAGAGGUAAAAAUGGACAAGUGUCCGACAGUAGAAUUAGGGGUACAAGAUACCCACCUGAGAGGAAAGAAAAAGAAAAUAUAGAGCAUCUCAUUCUCCUCAGAAAGUUUCAAAAGUGCAAGAAAGGUAUGUAUCCCCUCAAAAGAGCAUAAGUAGAAUUAGACUUUCACCAUUGUUAUCACCAUCAUCACCAUACUCCAUUCAUUCGCCACACAUGCACAUCUUGAUUUGACUUAUUGACUUGUUCUUUUGGAUCCAUGGUUUGACUAUGCAAUAAAUGUUUUGUAAGUAUGUAUUAGCUGUCUCCCACCUAUGAGCUCUAGAUAUCAAAAGCCUUAUUAGAGUAGGGUGAGAGAGAAGGCAAUGUCACUAUGCCUUAUACCAAAAAUACCACAUACUUUGAGAGAAGGCAUACACCAUUACUGCCUUGGUAAGGAUCCAGAAAUACCACAAAAGAGAGACUAGAGAGAGUCAUACAAGGAAUCUCUGAGUUUUAUUUGAAAAUCUGCAAAAACUCCAGAGCUAUAGUUAAUCGAAGAACAAGAGACAUGGUGCUUGACUAGACCAUUCUAUCUUUUAACUGCUCAAGACACAGGUGAUGGUUGCAAGCCCCAUGGUGGAAGGUAAAAUGAGUAAGUUUAAAUCUUAACAGUUUACCCUAACCCAAAGAUGAGAUCUUGUUUGAACGCAUGUGUAUCUUUAAGACAUAAAACCACUGCAGAAACUCUUGAGUCCAUCUUUGCUCAGGGACGAGCAAAGGUUAAGCUUGGGGGAGCUUGUUGACGGUCCUUAAUGCUCACAUUUAACCAUCAACUAAUCAUGGAAAAGGAUCCAAAUGCAACUAACACUUAGACUUAGGGUUUUAUCUGACAAAAUUCCACAAGUUUUGGUGUUUGUCUAUUUCUGCAAGGGGUUAUCAGGAAAUACGGAAGAAAGGCCCACACGUCGGGUUUACAUAGGGAUAUUAACUUGACGCACAAUUAUCUACCAUCUAGAAGAGUCCAGAAGCCAUGGGAGCGAACGGGAGACAUGACGGGGCCGGGCACUAGGCGCCCGCCCUCCCUUACUGGGCGCCCGCCCUCCCUUACUGGGCGCCCGCCCUCUCCCCUAGACCAAUCAGGGUGAAGCUCGGGGAUCAUGCUCCACCGACCUAAUACUUCAAGGAAAACCACACGAUCAAUGUCGAUUUGAUCCGAUGGCCCAGAUUCAUCUAAAAAGACUAUAUAAGCAAGGCCCCCUGGCCCCUAGAGAUCAUACCUCUUCUACAGAAUCAAAGUUAGGGUUUCAAUUCUUCAUCCAAGUAGAGAGGAUCCCUCUAGUUCUUCUAGUUCUACCUCUAGUUCAUCUAGAUCUAGUUCUAGUUCAUCUAGUUCUAGUUCUAGUUCCUCUAGUUCUAGUUCUAGUUAGUUCUAGUUGUAAUCUAGAAAAUAGGGAGAGAGAAGAGGAGAGCGGAGGAGGA
RNAcentral lists this long non-coding RNA (3420 nucleotides) under Sorghum bicolor (sorghum). Its description in RNAcentral is "long non-coding RNA (SBIC_LNC004267)". Lineage: Eukaryota; Viridiplantae; Streptophyta; Magnoliopsida; Poales; Poaceae. The record is from RNAcentral.